GCAGCAGGCGCGAAACCUUUACACUGCACGCACGUGCGAUAAGGGGACUCCGAGUGCGAGGGCAUAUCGUCCUCGCUUUCGUGUACCGUAGGGUGGUACACCAACAAGGGCUGGGCAAGACCGGUGCCAGCCGCCGCGGUAAUACCGGCAGCCCGAGUGAUGGCCGAUCUUAUUGGGCCUAAAGCGUCCGUAGCUGGCUGCGCAAGUCCGUCGGGAAAUCCACUCGCCCAACGAGUGGGCGUCCGACGGAAACUGCACAGCUUGGGACCGGAAGGCUCGAAGGGUACGUUCGGGGUAGGAGUGAAAUCCUAUAAUCCCGCACGGACCACCGAUGGCGAAAGCACUUCGAGAAAACGGAUCCGACAGUGAGGGACGAAAGCCAGGGUCUCCAACCGGAUUAGAUACCCGGGUAGUCCUGGCCGUAAACAAUGUUCGCUAGGUAUGACACAGACUACGCGUCUCUGUUGUGCCGUAGGGAAGCCGAGAAGCGAA
RNAcentral lists this ribosomal RNA (492 nucleotides) under uncultured haloarchaeon. RNAcentral's name for it is "bacterial SSU rRNA". It matches the Rfam family "Archaeal small subunit ribosomal RNA", at positions 332 to 823 of the family's 1478-position model. Lineage: Archaea; Methanobacteriati; Methanobacteriota; Halobacteria; Halobacteriales; Halobacteriaceae. The record is from RNAcentral.